CCUACGGGAGGCUGCAGUCGAGAAUCAUUCACAAUGGGGGAAACCCUGAUGGGGCGACGCCGCGUGGGGGAAUGAAGGUCUGCGGAUUGUAAACCCCUGUCAUGUGGGAGCAAAUUAAAAAGAUAGUACCACAAGAGGAAGAGACGGCUAACUCUGGGCCAGCAGCCGCGGUAAAACAGAGGUCGCAAGCGGUGGUUGGAAUCACUGGGCGUAAAGCGUGCGUAGGCUGUUUCGUAAGGCGUGUGUGAAAGGCGCGGGCUCAACCCGCGGACGGCACCUGAUACUGCGAGACUAGAGUAAUGGAGGGGGAACCGGAAUUCUCGGUGUAGCCGUGAAAUGCGUAGAUAUCGAGAGGAACACUCGUGGCGAAGGCGGGUUCCUGGACAUUACCUGACACUGAGGCACGAAGGCCCGGGGAGCG
RNAcentral lists this ribosomal RNA (421 nucleotides) under uncultured bacterium. Its description in RNAcentral is "partial 16S ribosomal RNA". It matches the Rfam family "Bacterial small subunit ribosomal RNA", at positions 338 to 770 of the family's 1533-position model. The record is from RNAcentral.